Molecule: long non-coding RNA, 1628 nt
Filed under: Capsicum annuum
Lineage: Eukaryota; Viridiplantae; Streptophyta; Magnoliopsida; Solanales; Solanaceae
Description: long non-coding RNA (CANN_LNC012730)
Source: RNAcentral
CCCUUGAAUCAAAAGGACUCAUCACCUGCUGACUAGAUACCACGAACUGACUGGAUCUAAAGGUGCAUACUAUACCUUGUACCUAUAUUCCAAGAAAAUAUAGCCUACAUACGAAUAUAUGGGUCAGUACCAUGGAAAUGUACCGAGCAUAUGAGGGGGCAAUGUAUAUAUAAAAUAAUAUCUUAAUAUUGUCACAGUUUAUAAAAUUAUGCAUGCUGAUAUAAAUAACUCACUUAGCUCGAAUUAAAUCAUAUAAAUCAUGGAUGAAUAAUACAUGUAAAAUAAAUCACGUGAGUCAUUAUAAUAAGUUCCAAAUUCACUUUUUGCUCGAUUUCAACUUGUAAAGUAAUCAAGUCUUAAAACAACUCUCUUUAGAACAUAACAUUUCAAUCUUUCGGAAACAAGGAACUUUCUCACAAAUCAUAGUUUUUAAACCAUACACACUUAUCUUAGAUAGAGCAGAGACACACAUACAUACACCAUGGGAGUUUCUUAUAACCGACAUAAACCAUGUGAGCUUAUCAUGGAGUCCAACGUUUUGUCCUCCUAAGGAAGAAACCCCACGUUGGCAAAGAGCGUCAUACUGUUGCCAGAGAGUAUAACAUCAACUUAGUGAUCACAAACUCAGCCUUAGGCCCACAAAUCUCAAUCCUACGACGGCACGUAGUUCUGGGAAAGUAGGGUACGCUCACCCACACCUCCCGCUCGGUGCUAAAUACUACUCCCGUACUCAAGCUCAGUCUUAUUUAGGAGAUCCACCUCAAAAUAAUCUCUAGGGCCUAUAAUGAAGGCCAAAUCAUAUUUCUCAUAAUUGAAUCAUAAUAAAUUGUGGAUUCCUAUUUUCAACUCAAAAAUCAUGAUAUAAAUUUUAAUUCAAAUCUCGGUAAAUAAUUUGAUAAAGGAAAACUCCAAAUCGUGAUAUCAUAAAAACCUAAUUUCAACCUUGAUAUAAAUAUAACGAUUCCAUCUUCCAAAAUAUCAUCUCAAAUUCCAUACUUGUUCAAUAUCAAAACAACAAUCUUUGCUUUUGAAAAAUACUUAUAAAAUCAUGUCCACGACUCGAGAUCAAAAUCUCCUUAUAAUUUCAUCACAUAUAUUUAAAACCCAAAAUAUAAAGAUUUAAUACAUCAAAAUCAUAUCUAAAUUUCAUACUCAACAAUCAUCACCAAAAUCUUCACUUAUCUCAAUUAAAAUAUUGGAAAUAAAUUCAUGACAUAAAUAUCAUAAUUUCAACAACUCAAAAUUCAUAUCACAAAUUCUGUAAAUUCAUUCUCAAUACUCAUUUCAAAUAAAUUCAACAACAUUAAUUCUUAAUAGAAAAAUAUAAAUUAAAAUAUGUAUAUCUCAACUCAAAUCAUAUCAAGAUAAAAUAUAAUGCUUUCAAAUACUCAAUUCAUGGAUAAUUACAUAAACUCAAAAUAAAAUAAAUUGGUAUAAACUUCAACAUAAAAAUUUACAUAAUCUUUAUAAAAAUCAAGUUUUAGGCACAAGACCGGAAGGAUUAUUCUUGUUCAAACCCCACAUACCUCAAAUUUGUGACUUUGGAUGAACUUGAAAUUCCGGAACUCUACUCAUAAAAUAAUAGGUGCUUCUUGAAGAUCUCAACUUGGGAAUUAUGAUUCCUAAAU